GAAAUGCGAUAAUUAAUGUGAAUUGCAGAAUUCAGUGAAUCAUCGAGUCUUUGAACACACAUUGCGCCCCCUGGUAUUCCGGGGGGGCAUGCCUGUCCGAGCGUCAUUGCUGCCCUCAAGCACGGCUUGUGUGUUGGGCUUCCGUCCCUGGCAACGGGGACGGGCCCAAAAGGCAGUGGCGGCACCAUGUCUGGUCCUCGAGCGUAUGGGGCUUUGUCACCCGCUCCCGUAGGUCCAGCUGGCAGCUAGCCUCGCAACCAAUCUUUUUAACCAGGUUGACCUCGGAUCAGGUAGGGAUACCCGCUGAACUUAAGC
RNAcentral lists this unclassified non-coding RNA (315 nucleotides) under plant metagenome. Its description in RNAcentral is "partial contains 5.8S ribosomal RNA, internal transcribed spacer 2, and large subunit ribosomal RNA". The stretch from base 1 to 106 matches the Rfam family "5.8S ribosomal RNA", at positions 50 to 154 of the family's 154-position model. The record is from RNAcentral.